RNAcentral lists this long non-coding RNA (583 nucleotides) under Carica papaya (papaya). Its description in RNAcentral is "long non-coding RNA (CPAP_LNC006044)". Lineage: Eukaryota; Viridiplantae; Streptophyta; Magnoliopsida; Brassicales; Caricaceae. The record is from RNAcentral.
AGAAGGUCAGGCAGGCUAUCCAGUAGGAAGUAGGGUAGGGGAAGGGCAACUCGGGUUUGUUUAUCGAGGUGGCUACUUACUGGGUCAGGUAAUCUCCUUCUAGGUUGUUGGAGUUAUGGUUGUUGGUUAUGAAAUCGAGCAAUACAUUAGUGCCUGGCCGAGAUGAGGUCCUCGGCUAACUGGGCAUGUUCUAGCGUCUUUGCAUAUGAGCUGGGUCUCAGCGUCACAACCCGAUCAUAGAUCUCGGUACAAAGGCCUUUUAGAAACUUCCUAACUUUACGACUUUCGAGGGUGACCAUUAAGGGGCAAACCUAGACAGUUGGACAAAUCGGGCUGCAUACUGAGCAACCAUCAGACUCCCUUGGUGGAGGUCUUGAAAUUCCUUCUCUUUCUUUUCUCGGACAUAGGCUAGAAAAAAGUUAUCAAAGAAUGCGUCCAUGAAAACUUCUGAGGUGGUAGGGGUAGGCAAGAUUUCUUUCUUAAGUUGCCACCAGUGUUCUUCUUCACCAUUUAGCAUAAAGGCUGUUAGGGGGACUUUCUAUUCCUCGGUUAGUUCUAGGACAGAGAACAGUUUCUCUAUGCC